UACGUAGGGGGCAAGCGUUGUCCGGAUUUAUUGGGCGUAAAGAGCGUGUAGGCGGCCUGAAAGGUCAGCUGUGAAAACUCGAGGCUCAACCUCGAGACGUCGGUUGAAACCAUCUGGCUAGAGUCCGGAAGAGGAGUGUGGAAUUCCCGGUGUAGCGGUGAAAUGCGCAGAUAUCGGGAAGAACACCCGUGGCGAAGGCGGCUACCUGGACCAGCAUUGACACUCAAGCACGAAAGCGUGGGGAGCAAACAGG
This 253-nucleotide ribosomal RNA is filed under the name uncultured bacterium. Its description in RNAcentral is "partial 16S ribosomal RNA". It matches the Rfam family "Bacterial small subunit ribosomal RNA", at positions 524 to 776 of the family's 1533-position model. The record is from RNAcentral.